UGCAGAAAUACAGAUCUCAUUUCCCCCAAAAACCAAAUGGGGGCUUUUCCAGCCUACCCGACGCCCUCUUCCCAAAAUCACUUCUCCGGCAAGUUUGAUGCGGUGAUUUUCCCUCUCCCUUCCAAACUCGGCUCUUUUCUCUUUCGUAUCUCCUCUCCUUCGUAUCUAGCCAAAAUCUAUGCAUCUACCCAAACCCUAGUGAAUCGAUUAAAUGCAAACAACUCAAAUUUUUUGCUUUCUUCUCUGAAGAGGCAAAAACCCUAACCCCUUUGUCUACCAUUCCUUCAACCAUUUUGGUAUUCAGGUUGCUGUUCUUCAUAAUUCCUGACUUGCUGGUGAGGGUUUAGAUCUUCAUUAUGCAGAGGGUAAAUCGCACAAAAUCCAGACAGGCAACCUCCCUCUUCCACCUUAUUCUGUAUAUGUUUUUCAUAUGUAGCUGAUUGAUGUUUUCGGAAUUUCCAUUUUCAUAUUGGUGAAUGUGCUUGAGUAGCGUAUGUGCCUUCCUUUUUUCCUUUUUAUGUGAUGCCUUCUUGAUCUGUCUAAUCUUCUUUAUACUUGUUAGGAUUGAAGUUCUUAGGUGUCAGAGAAAUUUGUUGAAUCUUGCUCUUGAAAACAAUGUAUUCAUUUUCUUUUAGCCUCUAUCUUAUGAAAUGUAAAUGAUUGUAUUUUUUUUCUUACUGUUUUAAACAAAAGAAAAAGUAAAGCAUGUAUUCUUUUGGCUUUCUUUUGUAACGGAAAGUUUAAUUAUUGGUAGAGCACUCCAGUAAAUAUCAUUGUAGCUUCUCAUGUGUGGAUUGAGGACCAACCAAUGUUGCUUGGUUUGUUGGAGAAAGGUAAAUAUGUUAGUAUUACCUUGUUGAUUGGUGGUGGAUGUAGUUGAUGUUAGAUGGUAGUUAUGGGUCGUUCAAAGUUUAGAUACUCUAGCAGUUCUAUGUCCAUAUACUCAUGAGUUUGUUGUGUCCUUGUUACUAGCUGUCCUUAUUUUUAUGCAUUUCUGCAGAAUAUUGAACAGGGAAAGAGCUGCAAACUAAUAUGUUAUGUACAUUCACAAGAAUCAAUUAAUCUAUCUGUAGCUUUAACCGGUUCAAAUAGACUAAAGAAGCUGGGUACUUUCUGAAAUAGUAUAAGUAUCAUAUACUAUAUAUGUAGUUGUCUAUAUUUUCCAACUUUUCAACUAGUUUAUGUGAAUUGCGUAGCAUUACGAGCUGAUGGACCAGGGCAUUGUGGUUUAUUUAUAAUAGAAUCAAAGUUAGUAUCUUAGAUAAUAUUAACAUAUUGUAGGACAUAGGAUAUACAUGCUAGUUAAAUUUCAGAAAAGUUAAUCAUCAAUGGACCAUUAUUCCAUGUUUGUGCUCUUAUUUUACUACGUUUUAUUUUGCCAUGUGCUUCUGUGAAGUUCUUCCCGAUCCAUCUAUAUGGAUAACCUUCCAUUUGAGCGUCUUUGAUGAUCUUGUUCAAUGUGAAUAAAUUUAUUACUAUGUAUGUCUGUAGAGUGCUGUUUUGUCGAAGGUAAGUAGUAGGAAAUGCAUUUCGAUGGAAAGAAACCAUCAGACCAUGGGUAAAGAGGCAUGAGCAUUUUUAGCGAUGGUUACCACUACGGUGAUGGUUAUUCUUGGGACGUGCUUCCUUCUAAGCCCUUUUGGUACAAAUGUUCCUGGUUCUAUCACUCCAUCCCUCAUUCUUGACAACAAGAUGUUAGCCCUUUCACAAGGAUAAAGUACUUCAACAACUGGAAAAUAAAAUGAAGUUGCUCGAAGACAAGUUUGAAGAUAUGAUCCUUUGUAUUUUUUCUUAAAAUAGCAGUAUAAAGUUCUUCAACAAGUAGGAGCUCAAAACAUUUGAUUUCUUUUUUUUCUCUUUCCAUGUGCAUAUACAAAGUACAAUGUAUUAUGGAGCGUCGUAUACUUUGAUGUAUAGACUAUUUGGUAAUGAAAACUUCGUACAUAAUUUUGUUUAAGCGUA
This is a long non-coding RNA of Nicotiana tabacum (common tobacco), 1962 nucleotides long. RefSeq lists it as uncharacterized. The record is from RefSeq and is a predicted model, not a curated record. NCBI's taxonomy places the organism in Eukaryota, Viridiplantae, Streptophyta, Magnoliopsida, Solanales, Solanaceae.